RNAcentral lists this ribosomal RNA (260 nucleotides) under uncultured soil bacterium. Its description in RNAcentral is "partial 16S ribosomal RNA". It matches the Rfam family "Bacterial small subunit ribosomal RNA", at positions 26 to 314 of the family's 1533-position model. The record is from RNAcentral.
AGAACGAACGCUGGCGGCAUGCCUAAUACAUGCAAGUCGAACGAAGGCUUCGGCCUUAGUGGCGCACGGGUGCGUAACGCGUGGGAAUCUGCCCCUUGGUUCGGAAUGACAGUUGGAAACGACUGCUAAUACCGGAUGAUGACGAAAGUCCAAAGAUUUAUCGCCAAGGGAUGAGCCCGCGUAGGAUUAGCUAGUUGGUGAGGUAAAGGCUCACCAAGGCGACGAUCCUUAGCUGGUCUGAGAGGAUGAUCAGCCACACU